Molecule: ribosomal RNA, 253 nt
Filed under: uncultured bacterium
Lineage: Bacteria
Description: partial 16S ribosomal RNA
Rfam family: Bacterial small subunit ribosomal RNA
Source: RNAcentral
UACGGAGGGUGCGAGCGUUAAUCGGAAUUACUGGGCGUAAAGCGCGCGUAGGCGGUUCGAUAAGUCGGGUGUGAAAGCCCUGGGCUCAACCUGGGAAUUGCAUUCGAUACUGUCGAGCUAGAGUGUGGUAGAGGGAAGUGGAAUUUCCGGUGUAGCGGUGAAAUGCGUAGAUAUUGGGAGGAACACCAGUGGCGAAGGCGGCUCGCUGGACCGGAACUGACGCUGAGGCGCGAAAGCGUGGGGAGCAAACAGG